RNAcentral lists this long non-coding RNA (459 nucleotides) under Gallus gallus (chicken). RNAcentral's name for it is "lncRNA (ENSGALG00010000378.1)". Lineage: Eukaryota; Metazoa; Chordata; Aves; Galliformes; Phasianidae. The record is from RNAcentral.
CAUAAGAGAAGUGCAAAUGCAAAAGCAAGCGAGGCUACAGGGAAGAAAGGACAGCAGAAGGGGAGUGCAGGUGCAGAUCCCCCAAACACAGCACUCCCUGCCCGCUAGGGUUGCGGGUGCGACGCAGUCACCACAAUGACGUCGAGGAUCAAUGCCGGGUAAUUCAGUGAGCGUUCCAACAAAGAAUCAAGGAAAAAACUGCCAGGCAAAACUAAGAAACCUUCUGGCAACAGGUCUUCAACGUUACGCAUAGAGUCCUUUGGAACAGGUGUUGUUUCUGUGUCAACAACUUGAAGAUCAAUUCAGGCAACGGCUACGAAAGAAAAACGAGUCACAUAACAUGGAGAGCAAAGAAGAGAAGAGAGAGGAAACAGAGAGGUGCCAGCACUGCCGCCCGGGGUGGGCAGCAGGCUGCUGGUGCCAGCGUCAUCAUGGGCGGCGGCCAGCACUGGCCACGCU